Molecule: long non-coding RNA, 3285 nt
Filed under: Sus scrofa (pig)
Lineage: Eukaryota; Metazoa; Chordata; Mammalia; Artiodactyla; Suidae
Description: lncRNA (ENSSSCG00035000399.1)
Source: RNAcentral
GGUCACUAAGUUUUCCAGAGCUUAAUCUUAUUGGGUUAUUUUAAAGCUGCUUGGUAAGCUGGAACUUCAGGUGGGCAUCAUAAACUCAAGUCCAUACUUAAAAUGUCCAGGAGUUCCUGCUGUGGCUCAGUGGUAAUGACCCAACUAGUAUCCAUGAAGAUGCGGGUUCUAUCCCUGGCCUCACUCAGGGGGUUAAGGAUCCAGUGACAUUGCUAUGAGCUGAGGUGUAGGUCGCAGGCGCAGUGUAGGUCACAGACAUGGCUCGGAUCUGGCAUUGCUGUGGCUGUGGUGUAGGCUGGUAGCUGCAGUUCCAAUUCAACCCCCAGCCUGGGAACUUCCAUAUGGCGAGGGUGCAGCCCUAAAAAGCAAGCAAACAAACAAGAAUGUCCAGACUCUGGGUGUGAACAGGGUUAUCACACUGUAAAAUGCCUAUCCUAGGCUGCAACUCAGAAAAACAAAAGCUGCUUUUCAAAAAGUUGUUUUUCUCAUCACAAGGGGCAAGAAGAUGAAACUGUUAGCUAUACGAGAAGGUCUGCCUGACCAGACCUGCAAGUUUGACAGCAAGUGGAUGCAGCCACAGCCAACUGGGGGUGGGGUGGUCAGGGCAUGGCCAGAGGCAUAAACACUACCUUCCAACCCUCUCAGCUCAACCUGCAAAAGCCAGAGGGCAAGGGAGCCGGAGCUGAUUGAGGCAGCCUGCAGAGGUCAGCUUCCCAAACAGAGCAGAGCAAGGUUGGACCCAAAGAAGGUACAGAGGCUAUCUCACACAGGUAGCAGGCUGACACAUUUAUUUAAACAGUUCUGUGGGAGUUCCUGUUGUGGCUUAGUAGGCCAAGAACCUAACUAGUAUCAGUGAGGAUGAGGGUUCGAUUCCUGGCCUCACUCAGUGGGUUAAAGAUCUGGCGUUGCUAAGAGCUGUGGUGUAGGUUGCAGACUUGGCUCAGAUUCUGAGUUGCUGUGGCUGUGGCCAAGGUCCAGCUGCAGCUCUGAUUCAACCCUAGCCUGGAAACUUCCAUAUGCUAUAGGUGUGGGAAAAAAAAAAAUGGAGUUCCCUUCGUGGCGCAGUGGUUAACGAAUCCGACUAGGAACCAUGAGGUUGCAGGGAUCGAACCCGAAACCUCAUGGUUCUUAGAUUUGUUAACCACUGAGCCACGACGGGAACUCCUGCUCUCUUGUUUCUUUAACUGUAAAUAUUCCAGCUAAUUUGACUGAGGCAUGAUUAAUGAUCCUUUAAACUUUCAGGUGUUAUUCAUUCCCUUGAAUCUUUGAAGUUGGCUCUUGGCAAAACUGUAAAUGAAAGGUUUGUUUUCUAGGCCCAUCUGCAUGCUUUUUAGAUCUUUUUGGUUCCCUGCUAGCAAUAGCAACUUUAGCCCCAGAGUUCUCUCACCAUGGGAGCAAUGGGCUCGCCAAUCCCAACCUGCUCUCUAAGCCUGUGCCUGCAUUCAAUGGGCAAUUAAAACUCAAUUAUACAGUUCUACUGUUUUCCUCAACAUAAAAGCAAUACAUGCUCAUGUUGUCCAACUUGAGAAUACAGAAAAGCAAAAGAAAAUAAAAAUCUGUUAUAAUCUUGUUAUUCAAAAUCAGAUGCCACUGUUCCUUGUUCCUCUCAAAAGUGUUGUUGGCACUUUUAACGCCACUCAUCUGUGCAUAGUCCCUUUCCUCCCCGACCCUGCUCUGCCUUCCAAGUUCACUCUGUGAGGCAGAGGUAAUGACUGAAUAAGUAAACACUUGAAAGUAUAUUACCUUGAGACCUUAGGCACCUGUUGAGGAAAAAAUACAUAAAUAGUACAUAAUAAAACCAAUUGGGACAUCUGAGGUUGGCUAGUUUACAGUGGAAUUCAUUGGCUCAUAGGACCUGAAUGUAUAGAGGUAGGAUGGGCUGCAGGUGUGGUUUGAUCUAGAGAUUGAAAGAGUCAAAAAGGAAAUGGUUUCUUUCUAACCCCUCUCUCUGCUUUCUCCACAAUGUUCAUCUCUUCCUAAGGUAAGUGCUUCUUGCAGUCAAAAUGGCAGCCUUAUCAGCAGUUUCUAGCACUACUUACUGCCUGGCUCCUGUCUAACAGGAUAUGAGAGCAUCUGUCUGUGACCCAUAAAUUCCUGGGAUCCCUUUUGAUUGGAUCAGCCUGGUUCCUAUGACCACCCCUGAACCAACCCUAGUGGCAAGGAAGAUGAGACAAUUAUGCAUAGUUGAGACUAGUAGGCCUCAAACUCUAGUCUCAGGACUGCUCAUAAAAAUUAAUGAGGAGCCCACAGAAUCUUUUUGAUGGAGAUUUUUAUCUAUUGAUACUUGCCAAAUUAGAAAUUAAAUUCAGGAAUUCCCAUCGUGGCGCAGCGAAAACGAAUCUGACUAGGAACUAUGAGGUUGCAGGUUUGAUCCCUGGCCUCAUUCAGUGGGUUAAGGAUCUGGUAUUGCUGCGAGCUGUGGUGUAGGCUGGCAGCUGUAGCUCCAAUUCAACCCCUAGCCUGGGAACCUCCAUAUGCCGAAAGUGCGGCCCUAAGAAAAAAAAAAGCAAAAACAAAAGAAACCUCCCAACAGACAAAAGUCCAGGAACAGACAGCUUCAUGAGUGAAUUCCACCAAACAUUUCGAGAAAGGUUAACCCUACCUUUCUCAAACUAUUCCAGAAAACAGCAGAGGAAGGAACAUGUCUGAAUACAUUCUGUGAGGCCAGUAUCACCCACCCUGAUACUAAGACCAGAUAAAGAUAGCACCCAAAAAAGAAAAUUACAGACUAACAUCACUGAUGCAAAAAUCAACAAAAUAUUAGCAAACAAAAUUCAAAUCCUACAUUAAUCCCACAUUAAAACGAUCAUACAUUAUGACUAAAUGGGACUUAUCCCAAGGAUGCAAGGAUGGUUCAGUAUCCACAAAUCAACCAAAGUGACACAGAUUAACAAACUAAAGACUGAAAUAGGAGCAUCUCAAUAGAUACAGAAUAAACUUUUGACAAAAGUCAACAUCCAUUUUUGAUGAAAAACUCUCAAUACAGGGGACCAUGCUGCAACAUAUAAAGACCAUGUAUGACAGGCCCGCAGCCAGUAUCAUACUUAAUGGCAAAAGCUGAAAGCAUUUUCUCUAAGAAGGAAGCAUUUUCUCACAGGAAGAAGACAACGAUGCCCACUCUUACCACUUUUAUUCAGCAUAGUGUUGGAAAUCAUAGCCACAGCAAUCAGACAAGAAGAAAUGAAAGAAAUCCCAAUUAGAAAAGAAGUAAAACUGUCACUGUUUUUAGAUGACAUGAUACUAUACAUAGAAAAUCCUAAAGAUGUUACCAAAAAAAAAAAAAAA